UACGGAGGGUGCAAGCGUUGUUCGGAAUUACUGGGCGUAAAGCGCGUGUAGGCGGCCGAUUAAGUCUGGUGUGAAAGCCCGGGGCUCACCCCCGGAAGUGCGCUGGAAACUAGCGGGCUUGAGUUCGGGAGAGGGAAGCGGAAUUCCGGGUGUAGCGGUGAAAUGCGUAGAUAUCCGGAGGAACACCGGUGGCGAAGGCGGCUUCCUGGACCGACACUGACGCUGAGGCGCGAAAGCUAGGGGAGCAAACGGG
This 253-nucleotide ribosomal RNA is filed under the name uncultured bacterium. Its description in RNAcentral is "partial 16S ribosomal RNA". It matches the Rfam family "Bacterial small subunit ribosomal RNA", at positions 524 to 776 of the family's 1533-position model. The record is from RNAcentral.